GAUGAAGAACGUAGCGAAAUGCGAUAAGUAAUGUGAAUUGCAGAAUUUAGUGAAUCAUCGAAUCUUUGAACGCACAUUGCGCCCGCUAGUAUUCUGGCGGGCAUGCCUGUUCGAGCGUCAUUUCAACCAUCAAGCCCUAGGCUUGCGUUGGAGCCCUGCGGCUGCCGCAGGCUCCCAAAUCCAGUGGCGGGCUCGUCGUCGUACCGAGUGCAGUAAACAUCCUCGCUCAGGGAACGUGACGGGUUCUUGCCGUGAAACCCCCCACAUAUCAAGGUUGACCUCGGAUCAGGUAGGAAUACCCGCUGAACUUAAGCAUAUCAAUAAGCGGAGGA
RNAcentral lists this unclassified non-coding RNA (332 nucleotides) under soil metagenome. RNAcentral describes it as "partial contains 5.8S ribosomal RNA, internal transcribed spacer 2, and large subunit ribosomal RNA". The stretch from base 1 to 120 matches the Rfam family "5.8S ribosomal RNA", at positions 35 to 154 of the family's 154-position model. The record is from RNAcentral.